GUAGGGAAUAUUGGGCAAUGGAGGCAACUCUGACCCAGCCAUGCCGCGUGCAGGAAGACGGUCCUCUGGAUUGUAAACUGCUUUUGAAUGGGAAGAACAUACGGUUUGCGAACCGUACUGACGGUACUAUUAGAAUAAGCACCGGCUAACUCCGUGCCAGCAGCCGCGGUAAUACGGAGGGUGCAAGCGUUAUCCGGAUUUAUUGGGUUUAAAGGGUGCGUAGGCGGCCUUAUAAGUCGGUGGUUAAAGGUAGCAGCUUAACUGUGUUACAUGCCAUCGAUACUGUAGGGCUUGAGUGAUUUGGAGGUAGCUAGAAUUCCCUGUGUAGCGGUGAAAUGCAUAGAUACGGGGAGGAAUACCGAUUGCGAAGGCAUGUUACUACGAAUUAUCUGACGCUGAGGCACGAAAGCGUGGGGAUCAAACAGGAUUAGAUACCCGAGUAGUCC
Molecule: ribosomal RNA, 446 nt
Filed under: uncultured bacterium
Lineage: Bacteria
Description: bacterial SSU rRNA
Rfam family: Bacterial small subunit ribosomal RNA
Source: RNAcentral